GCGGAUGUAGCUCAGUUGGUAGAGCAUCAGCUUCCCAAGCUGAGGGUCGCGGGUUCGAUCCCCGUCAUCCGCU
RNAcentral lists this transfer RNA (73 nucleotides) under Jonquetella anthropi DSM 22815. It matches the Rfam family "tRNA". Rfam says of the family: Transfer RNA (tRNA) molecules are approximately 80 nucleotides in length. Their secondary structure includes four short double-helical elements and three loops (D, anti-codon, and T loops). The record is from Rfam by way of RNAcentral. Lineage: Bacteria; Thermotogati; Synergistota; Synergistia; Synergistales; Dethiosulfovibrionaceae.